Eremococcus coleocola ACS-139-V-Col8 is the source of this 362-nucleotide non-coding RNA. It matches the Rfam family "transfer-messenger RNA". Rfam says of the family: Bacterial tmRNA, also known as 10Sa RNA or SsrA, is named for its dual tRNA and mRNA-like properties. Its role is to liberate the mRNA from a stalled ribosome. To accomplish this part of the tmRNA is used as a reading frame that ends in a translation stop signal. NCBI's taxonomy places the organism in Bacteria, Bacillati, Bacillota, Bacilli, Lactobacillales, Aerococcaceae. The record is from Rfam.
GGGGGUGUACUGGUUUCGACAGAUUUCAUACGAGCUCUUGAUGCGUCAGGAAGGCAGCGACUACCUAAAAACGCUACAGUUAAAUAUAACUGCAAACAAUAAUAAUAAUUUUGCUUUAGCAGCCUAAUAACUGCUUGCAAAGAUCAGCCCGGUAUCGCCCAUGUACCGGUUCCUGGUCUCAAUUAAGUGGGAUACGAUUUAACUUUCCGUCUGCAAGUUAAGUAAGAGAUCAUCAGACUCGCGACCUCAAAUGCCUGUUGGCCGGCUAUGAGACAGCUAAAUCUUAAUAGGAUCAACUAUUGACGUAGAUUCGGGAGUGGCGGGCUUUCUGGACAGGGGUUCGAUUCCCCUCAUCUCCAUAA